UAAUACCUGCAGCUCAAGUAGUGACCGCUAUUAUUGGGCCUAAAACGUUCGUAGCCGGUUUGAUAAAUGCCUGGGUAAAUAGUGUAGCUUAACUAUACGAAUUCCGGGCAGACUGUUAAACUUGAGACCGGGAGAGGCUAGAGGUACUCCUGGGGUAGAGGUGAAAUUCUGUAAUCCUGAGGGGACCACCAGUGGCGAAGGCGUCUAGCUAGAACGGGUCUGACGGUGAGGAACGAAGCCCUGGGGCGCGAACCGGAUUAGAUACCCGGGUAGUCCCAGCCGUAAACGAUGCAGGCUAGGUGUUGGGUUGGCCAUGUGCCGACUCAGUGCCACAGGGAAGCCAUUAAGCCUGCUGCCUGGGGAGUACGGUCGCAAGGCUG
This 380-nucleotide ribosomal RNA is filed under the name uncultured archaeon. RNAcentral describes it as "bacterial SSU rRNA". It matches the Rfam family "Archaeal small subunit ribosomal RNA", at positions 471 to 851 of the family's 1478-position model. The record is from RNAcentral.